RNAcentral lists this ribosomal RNA (420 nucleotides) under uncultured bacterium. RNAcentral's name for it is "bacterial SSU rRNA". It matches the Rfam family "Bacterial small subunit ribosomal RNA", at positions 358 to 770 of the family's 1533-position model. The record is from RNAcentral.
GGAAUAUUGGACAAUGGGGGCAACCCUGAUCCAGCAAUGCCGCGUGUGUGAAGAAGGCCUGCGGGUUGUAAAGCACUUUCAGAAGGGAAGAAAUCCUGAAGGUUAAUAUCCUUCAGGCUUGACAUUACCUACAGAAGAAGCACCGGCUAACUCCGUGCCAGCAGCCGCGGUAAUACGGAGGGUGCGAGCGUUAAUCGGAAUUACUGGGCGUAAAGCGCACGUAGGCGGUCUAGUAAGUCGGAUGUGAAAUCCCCGGGCUUAACCUGGGAAUUGCAUUCGAUACUGCUAAGCUAGAGUAUGGUAGAGGGUAGUGGAAUUCCGGGUGUAGCGGUGAAAUGCGUAGAUAUCUGGAGGAACAUCAGUGGCGAAGGCGGCUUCCUGGAUCAAGACUGACGCUCAGGCUCGAAAGCGUGGGUAGCA